UACGGAGGGUGCAAACGUUGCUCGGAAUCAUUGGGCGUAAAGCGCACGUAGGCGGUUUGUUAAGUUGGAUGUGAAAGCCCUCGGCUUAACCGAGGAAGUGCAUCCAAAACUGGCAAGCUUGAGUACGGAAGAGGGUCUCGGAAUUCCCGGUGUAGAGGUGAAAUUCGUAGAGAUCAGGAGGAACACCAAUUGCGAAGGCAGCACUCUGGGACGUGACUGACGCUGAGACGCGAAAGCGUGGGGAGCAAACAGG
RNAcentral lists this ribosomal RNA (253 nucleotides) under uncultured bacterium. RNAcentral describes it as "partial 16S ribosomal RNA". It matches the Rfam family "Bacterial small subunit ribosomal RNA", at positions 524 to 776 of the family's 1533-position model. The record is from RNAcentral.